RNAcentral lists this ribosomal RNA (2921 nucleotides) under Staphylococcus aureus. Its description in RNAcentral is "bacterial LSU rRNA". It matches the Rfam family "Bacterial large subunit ribosomal RNA". Lineage: Bacteria; Bacillati; Bacillota; Bacilli; Caryophanales; Staphylococcaceae. The record is from RNAcentral.
UUAAGUUAUUAAGGGCGCACGGUGGAUGCCUUGGCACUAGAAGCCGAUGAAGGACGUUACUAACGACGAUAUGCUUUGGGGAGCUGUAAGUAAGCUUUGAUCCAGAGAUUUCCGAAUGGGGAAACCCAGCAUGAGUUAUGUCAUGUUAUCGAUAUGUGAAUACAUAGCAUAUCAGAAGGCACACCCGGAGAACUGAAACAUCUUAGUACCCGGAGGAAGAGAAAGAAAAUUCGAUUCCCUUAGUAGCGGCGAGCGAAACGGGAAGAGCCCAAACCAACAAGCUUGCUUGUUGGGGUUGUAGGACACUCUAUACGGAGUUACAAAGGACGACAUUAGACGAAUCAUCUGGAAAGAUGAAUCAAAGAAGGUAAUAAUCCUGUAGUCGAAAAUGUUGUCUCUCUUGAGUGGAUCCUGAGUACGACGGAGCACGUGAAAUUCCGUCGGAAUCUGGGAGGACCAUCUCCUAAGGCUAAAUACUCUCUAGUGACCGAUAGUGAACCAGUACCGUGAGGGAAAGGUGAAAAGCACCCCGGAAGGGGAGUGAAAUAGAACCUGAAACCGUGUGCUUACAAGUAGUCAGAGCCCGUUAAUGGGUGAUGGCGUGCCUUUUGUAGAAUGAACCGGCGAGUUACGAUUUGAUGCAAGGUUAAGCAGUAAAUGUGGAGCCGUAGCGAAAGCGAGUCUGAAUAGGGCGUUUAGUAUUUGGUCGUAGACCCGAAACCAGGUGAUCUACCCUUGGUCAGGUUGAAGUUCAGGUAACACUGAAUGGAGGACCGAACCGACUUACGUUGAAAAGUGAGCGGAUGAACUGAGGGUAGCGGAGAAAUUCCAAUCGAACCUGGAGAUAGCUGGUUCUCUCCGAAAUAGCUUUAGGGCUAGCCUCAAGUGAUGAUUAUUGGAGGUAGAGCACUGUUUGGACGAGGGGCCCCUCUCGGGUUACCGAAUUCAGACAAACUCCGAAUGCCAAUUAAUUUAACUUGGGAGUCAGAACAUGGGUGAUAAGGUCCGUGUUCGAAAGGGAAACAGCCCAGACCACCAGCUAAGGUCCCAAAAUAUAUGUUAAGUGGAAAAGGAUGUGGCGUUGCCCAGACAACUAGGAUGUUGGCUUAGAAGCAGCCAUCAUUUAAAGAGUGCGUAAUAGCUCACUAGUCGAGUGACACUGCGCCGAAAAUGUACCGGGGCUAAACAUAUUACCGAAGCUGUGGAUUGUCCUUUGGACAAUGGUAGGAGAGCGUUCUAAGGGCGUUGAAGCAUGAUCGUAAGGACAUGUGGAGCGCUUAGAAGUGAGAAUGCCGGUGUGAGUAGCGAAAGACGGGUGAGAAUCCCGUCCACCGAUUGACUAAGGUUUCCAGAGGAAGGCUCGUCCGCUCUGGGUUAGUCGGGUCCUAAGCUGAGGCCGACAGGCGUAGGCGAUGGAUAACAGGUUGAUAUUCCUGUACCACCUAUAAUCGUUUUAAUCGAUGGGGGGACGCAGUAGGAUAGGCGAAGCGUGCGAUUGGAUUGCACGUCUAAGCAGUAAGGCUGAGUAUUAGGCAAAUCCGGUACUCGUUAAGGCUGAGCUGUGAUGGGGAGAAGACAUUGUGUCUUCGAGUCGUUGAUUUCACACUGCCGAGAAAAGCCUCUAGAUAGAAAAUAGGUGCCCGUACCGCAAACCGACACAGGUAGUCAAGAUGAGAAUUCUAAGGUGAGCGAGCGAACUCUCGUUAAGGAACUCGGCAAAAUGACCCCGUAACUUCGGGAGAAGGGGUGCUCUUUAGGGUUAACGCCCAGAAGAGCCGCAGUGAAUAGGCCCAAGCGACUGUUUAUCAAAAACACAGGUCUCUGCUAAACCGUAAGGUGAUGUAUAGGGGCUGACGCCUGCCCGGUGCUGGAAGGUUAAGAGGAGUGGUUAGCUUCUGCGAAGCUACGAAUCGAAGCCCCAGUAAACGGCGGCCGUAACUAUAACGGUCCUAAGGUAGCGAAAUUCCUUGUCGGGUAAGUUCCGACCCGCACGAAAGGCGUAACGAUUUGGGCACUGUCUCAACGAGAGACUCGGUGAAAUCAUAGUACCUGUGAAGAUGCAGGUUACCCGCGACAGGACGGAAAGACCCCGUGGAGCUUUACUGUAGCCUGAUAUUGAAAUUCGGCACAGCUUGUACAGGAUAGGUAGGAGCCUUUGAAACGUGAGCGCUAGCUUACGUGGAGGCGCUGGUGGGAUACUACCCUAGCUGUGUUGGCUUUCUAACCCGCACCACUUAUCGUGGUGGGAGACAGUGUCAGGCGGGCAGUUUGACUGGGGCGGUCGCCUCCUAAAAGGUAACGGAGGCGCUCAAAGGUUCCCUCAGAAUGGUUGGAAAUCAUUCAUAGAGUGUAAAGGCAUAAGGGAGCUUGACUGCGAGACCUACAAGUCGAGCAGGGUCGAAAGACGGACUUAGUGAUCCGGUGGUUCCGCAUGGAAGGGCCAUCGCUCAACGGAUAAAAGCUACCCCGGGGAUAACAGGCUUAUCUCCCCCAAGAGUUCACAUCGACGGGGAGGUUUGGCACCUCGAUGUCGGCUCAUCGCAUCCUGGGGCUGUAGUCGGUCCCAAGGGUUGGGCUGUUCGCCCAUUAAAGCGGUACGCGAGCUGGGUUCAGAACGUCGUGAGACAGUUCGGUCCCUAUCCGUCGUGGGCGUAGGAAAUUUGAGAGGAGCUGUCCUUAGUACGAGAGGACCGGGAUGGACAUACCUCUGGUGUACCAGUUGUCGUGCCAACGGCAUAGCUGGGUAGCUAUGUGUGGACGGGAUAAGUGCUGAAAGCAUCUAAGCAUGAAGCCCCCCUCAAGAUGAGAUUUCCCAACUUCGGCUAUAAGAUCCCUCAAAGAUGAUGAGGUUAAUAGGUUCGAGGUGGAAGCAUGGUGACAUGUGGAGCUGACGAAUACUAAUCGAUCGAAGACUUAAUCAA